This is a long non-coding RNA of Cyclopterus lumpus (lumpfish), 384 nucleotides long. RefSeq lists it as uncharacterized. The record is from RefSeq and is a predicted model, not a curated record. NCBI's taxonomy places the organism in Eukaryota, Metazoa, Chordata, Actinopteri, Perciformes, Cyclopteridae. The transcript has 3 exons.
GUGCCAAGGAACUGACAGAUUAACUGCUACGUCAUUAACAUUCAUUCCGUUUCAUUAUAAAGGCCUUCAUAGAGUUGGGCUGUCACAUAAGGUAAAAGGUUUGCACUGUGACAGAUGUGACCUGGACUAACUUAUGAGACACUGAAAGAGUUUAAAACAUUGAGAGCAGAAAUAGGGGAGGAAUUCAUAACUGUUCAUCUUAUAUAUUAUCAUUUGGAUUAAAAAAAAAAAGAUGGAUGUUGGAAAGAUAGCAUCGAUUCUCCUGAUUCUGAUUGUGGCACAAACAACAGCUCAAACAACGACAACUCCCACACCGACAACAACUCCCGCGGUGACAACAACAGCGGCACCUACAACAACUGUGGCACCUACAACAACUCCGGC